RNAcentral lists this ribosomal RNA (355 nucleotides) under uncultured bacterium. Its description in RNAcentral is "bacterial SSU rRNA". It matches the Rfam family "Bacterial small subunit ribosomal RNA", at positions 917 to 1271 of the family's 1533-position model. The record is from RNAcentral.
GGGCCCGCACAAGCGGUGGAGCAUGUGGUUUAAUUCGAUGCAACGCGAAAAACCUUACCAGGCCUUGACAUCCAGAGAACUUACCAGAGAUGGUUCGGUGCCUUCGGGAACUCUGUGACAGGUGUUGCAUGGCUGUCGUCAGCUCGUGUCGUGAGAUGUUGGGUUAAGUCCCGUAACGAGCGCAACCCUUAUCCUUACUUGCCAGCACGUAAUGGUGGGAACUUUAAGGAGACUGCCGGUGACAAACCGGAGGAAGGAGAGGAUGAUGUCAAGUCAUCACGGCCCUUACGUCCUGGGCUACACACGUGCUACAAUGGCCGGUACAGAGGGCAGCCACACCGCAAGGUGGAGCGAA